RNAcentral lists this ribosomal RNA (586 nucleotides) under uncultured bacterium. RNAcentral's name for it is "bacterial SSU rRNA". It matches the Rfam family "Bacterial small subunit ribosomal RNA", at positions 338 to 916 of the family's 1533-position model. The record is from RNAcentral.
CCUACGGGAGGCAGCAGUGGGGAAUUUUGGACAAUGGGCGAAAGCCUGAUCCAGCAAUGCCGCGUGAGUGAAGAAGGCCUUCGGGUUGUAAAGCUCUUUUGUCAGGGAAGAAACGGUGGGAGCUAAUAUCUCCUGCUAAUGACGGUACCUGAAGAAUAAGCACCGGCUAACUACGUGCCAGCAGCCGCGGUAAUACGUAGGGUGCAAGCGUUAAUCGGAAUUACUGGGCGUAAAGCGUGCGCAGGCGGUUUUGUAAGUCUGAUGUGAAAUCCCCGGGCUCAACCUGGGAAUUGCAUUGGAGACUGCAAGGCUAGAAUCUGGCAGAGGGGGGUAGAAUUCCACGUGUAGCAGUGAAAUGCGUAGAUAUGUGGAGGAACACCGAUGGCGAAGGCAGCCCCCUGGGUCAAGAUUGACGCUCAUGCACGAAAGCGUGGGGAGCAAACAGGAUUAGAUACCCUGGUAGUCCACGCCCUAAACGAUGUCUACUAGUUGUCGGGUCUUAAUUGACUUGGUAACGCAGCUAACGCGUGAAGUAGACCGCCUGGGGAGUACGGUCGCAAGAUUAAAACUCAAAUGAAAUUGACGG